CGCCGGGCGCACGGGACUCCAGGGGGCUGCUGGAGGCUGCGGUGCCGGGGUGCGUGCUGUUCAGAGGCUCCAUCUUCAGCAUUGAGGCUGCCUGCACAGCAGGGGCUGCGGAAAAAGCCGCAGACCCUGCACUGGAUGGAUCAGCUGACACCACCCAGACCUGUAAUCUGGCUCAACCAGUUCUGCCAUCCCACCCAGGAACAGAAGAUAGCAAGGAAAACUCAUUUCGACCUCCUAUGAUUCCAUCUCCAACCUGAUCAGUCAGCACUCCCCACUUUCCAAGCCCCUACCUGCCAAAUUGUCUUUAAAAACUCUAAUCCCUGAAUAAUCACGAAGACUGAUUUGAGUAACAAUAAAACUCCGGUCUCCUGCA
Non-coding RNA from Macaca mulatta (Rhesus monkey), 373 nucleotides. NCBI's taxonomy places the organism in Eukaryota, Metazoa, Chordata, Mammalia, Primates, Cercopithecidae. The record is from RefSeq and is a predicted model, not a curated record.